RNAcentral lists this ribosomal RNA (2881 nucleotides) under Burkholderia multivorans. RNAcentral's name for it is "23S ribosomal RNA". It matches the Rfam family "Bacterial large subunit ribosomal RNA". The record is from RNAcentral. Lineage: Bacteria; Pseudomonadati; Pseudomonadota; Betaproteobacteria; Burkholderiales; Burkholderiaceae.
GGUCAAGCGAACAAGUGCAUGUGGUGGAUGCCUUGGCGAUCACAGGCGAUGAAGGACGCGGUAGCCUGCGAAAAGCCCCGGGGAGCUGGCAAACAAGCUUUGAUCCGGGGAUGUCCGAAUGGGGAAACCCACUCCGUAUGGAGUAUCCAUGACUGAAUACAUAGGUCAUGUGAAGCGAACGCGGUGAACUGAAACAUCUAAGUAACCGCAGGAAAAGAAAUCAACCGAGAUUCCCAAAGUAGUGGCGAGCGAAAUGGGAUGAGCCUUGUACUCUUUAUUUGUAUUGUUAGCCGAACGCUCUGGAAAGUGCGGCCAUAGCAGGUGAUAGCCCUGUAGGCGAAAACAGUAUGAAAGAACUAGGUGUACGACAAGUAGGGCGGGACACGUGAAAUCCUGUCUGAAGAUGGGGGGACCAUCCUCCAAGGCUAAAUACUCGUGAUCGACCGAUAGUGAACCAGUACCGUGAGGGAAAGGCGAAAAGAACCCCGGGAGGGGAGUGAAAUAGAUCCUGAAACCGCAUGCAUACAAACAGUCGGAGCCUCGUAAGGGGUGACGGCGUACCUUUUGUAUAAUGGGUCAGCGACUUACGUUCAGUAGCAAGCUUAACCGUAUAGGGCAGGCGUAGCGAAAGCGAGUCCGAAUAGGGCGUUCAGUUGCUGGGCGUAGACCCGAAACCAGGUGAUCUAUCCAUGGCCAGGAUGAAGGUGCGGUAACACGUACUGGAGGUCCGAACCCACUAACGUUGAAAAGUUAGGGGAUGAGCUGUGGAUAGGGGUGAAAGGCUAAACAAACCUGGAAAUAGCUGGUUCUCUCCGAAAACUAUUUAGGUAGUGCCUCGUGUCUCACCUUCGGGGGUAGAGCACUGUCAUGGUUGGGGGGUCUAUUGCAGAUUACCCCGCCAUAGCAAACUCCGAAUACCGAAGAGUGCAAUCACGGGAGACAGACAUCGGGUGCUAACGUCCGGUGUCAAGAGGGAAACAACCCAGACCGCCAGCUAAGGUCCCCAAAUAUGGCUAAGUGGGAAACGAAGUGGGAAGGCUAAAACAGUCAGGAGGUUGGCUUAGAAGCAGCCACCCUUUAAAGAAAGCGUAAUAGCUCACUGAUCGAGUCGUCCUGCGCGGAAGAUGUAACGGGGCUAAGCCAUAUACCGAAGCUGCGGAUGCGUGCUUGCACGCAUGGUAGGAGAGCGUUCCGUAAGCCUGCGAAGGUGCCUUGUAAAGGGUGCUGGAGGUAUCGGAAGUGCGAAUGCUGACAUGAGUAGCGAUAAAGGGGGUGAAAGGCCCCCUCGCCGUAAGCCCAAGGUUUCCUACGCAACGUUCAUCGGCGUAGGGUGAGUCGGCCCCUAAGGCGAGGCAGAAAUGCGUAGCUGAUGGGAAGCAGGUCAAUAUUCCUGCACCAUUGUUAGAUGCGAUGGGGGGACGGAUCGCGGAAGGUUGUCCGGGUGUUGGACGUCCCGGUCGCUGCAUUGGAGAAGGCGCUUAGGCAAAUCCGGGCGCAGGAUUCAAGGGUGUGGCGCGAGCGACUUCGGUCGCGAAGCAAUUGGAAGUGGUUCCAAGAAAAGCCUCUAAGCUUCAGUCUAACGAUGACCGUACCGCAAACCGACACAGGUGGGCGAGAUGAGUAUUCUAAGGCGCUUGAGAGAACUCGGGAGAAGGAACUCGGCAAAUUGGUACCGUAACUUCGGGAUAAGGUACGCCCUUGUAGCUUGACCAGCCUGCGCUGGAAGGGUGAAGGGGUUGCAAUAAACUGGUGGCUGCGACUGUUUAAUAAAAACACAGCACUCUGCAAACACGAAAGUGGACGUAUAGGGUGUGACGCCUGCCCGGUGCCGGAAGAUUAAAUGAUGGGGUGCAAGCUCUUGAUUGAAGUCCCGGUAAACGGCGGCCGUAACUAUAACGGUCCUAAGGUAGCGAAAUUCCUUGUCGGGUAAGUUCCGACCUGCACGAAUGGCGUAACGAUGGCCACACUGUCUCCUCCCGAGACUCAGCGAAGUUGAAGUGUUUGUGAUGAUGCAAUCUACCCGCGGCUAGACGGAAAGACCCCAUGAACCUUUACUGUAGCUUUGCAUUGGACUUUGAACCGAUCUGUGUAGGAUAGGUGGGAGGCUAUGAAACCGGAACGCUAGUUUCGGUGGAGCCGUCCUUGAAAUACCACCCUGGUUUGUUUGAGGUUCUAACCUUGGUCCGUGAUCCGGAUCGGGGACAGUGCAUGGUAGGCAGUUUGACUGGGGCGGUCUCCUCCCAAAGGGUAACGGAGGAGUACGAAGGUACGCUAGGUACGGUCGGAAAUCGUGCUGAUAGUGCAAUGGCAUAAGCGUGCUUAACUGCGAGACCGACAAGUCGAGCAGGUGCGAAAGCAGGUCAUAGUGAUCCGGUGGUUCUGUAUGGAAGGGCCAUCGCUCAACGGAUAAAAGGUACUCUGGGGAUAACAGGCUGAUACCGCCCAAGAGUUCAUAUCGACGGCGGUGUUUGGCACCUCGAUGUCGGCUCAUCUCAUCCUGGGGCUGUAGCCGGUCCCAAGGGUAUGGCUGUUCGCCAUUUAAAGAGGUACGUGAGCUGGGUUUAAAACGUCGUGAGACAGUUUGGUCCCUAUCUGCCGUGGGCGUUGGAUAUUUGAAGGGGGCUGCUCCUAGUACGAGAGGACCGGAGUGGACGAACCUCUGGUGUACCGGUUGUGACGCCAGUCGCAUCGCCGGGUAGCUAUGUUCGGAAGAGAUAACCGCUGAAAGCAUCUAAGCGGGAAACUCGCCUUAAGAUGAGAUAUCCCUGGAGGCUUGACCUCCUUGAAGGGUCGUUCGAGACCAGGACGUUGAUAGGUCGGGUGUGUAAGCGCAGUAAUGCGUUCAGCUAACCGAUACUAAUUGCCCGUAAGGCUUGAUCCU